RNAcentral lists this long non-coding RNA (662 nucleotides) under Olea europaea subsp. europaea. The record is from RNAcentral. Lineage: Eukaryota; Viridiplantae; Streptophyta; Magnoliopsida; Lamiales; Oleaceae.
UUUGGAAAAAAAAGUGCAAUUUAUUACAAGAAAGUAACAUUCCUCAUCAAUCAAAUAUAUAAGCAUAAUGUGGAAAUUAACCAAAUGUCUAAAAACUCCUAAAUUUUUUUUGCAGAUUCAUAUAUAAAACAAUGUCUAUGGCAAAAAGUUUAAACAAUUGUGAUGUUCAAGCUUUUAUAAGCUCCAAGUGUAAAACUUCUUGACCUGGGAAAACAACUAACAGAUAUUGUUAGGAUUUAAUAAAUGGUUUUACCCAUUCAUGACAAGUAUACCCAAAAUGAACUGUACACACUUCUUUUCCCAGCCCGUACUCAUUAGAAAAUUUUUUCAAAGCACUAUCCAAAAGUACAUACCUUUUGAUGUGAUGAAAGUGAAAUUACUCAUUCAUAAAGAGAAAUCUAGGUUAGAGAAGCAAAAAUGAAGUUGUAAUUGCAUAUUCAGUAAAAAAAACAGGCGGAAAGAGUAGCUAAUUAAAUUUUGACAACCAAGGGUUUUGUGUAAUAAGAUAACAGCAGUGUGGUGCCGACAGUUUGGAAAGACAAUGGAGUUGCUAGGGUCCGAUGAAGGUAAGACAGCGAUAGCUGCUAUGAAAAUGAAACCCGAUUGUAGAAAAGAUUUUCAGAUCGAGGAAGAAGAAAGAGAAAAACAAGGCAAGAAAUGAC